RNAcentral lists this ribosomal RNA (489 nucleotides) under uncultured bacterium. RNAcentral describes it as "bacterial SSU rRNA". It matches the Rfam family "Bacterial small subunit ribosomal RNA", at positions 28 to 507 of the family's 1533-position model. The record is from RNAcentral.
GAUGAACGCUAGCUACAGGCCUAACACAUGCAAGUCGAGGGGCAUCGGGAGGGAAGCUUGCUUCCCUUGCCGGCGACCGGCGCACGGGUGAGUAACGCGUAUCGAACCUGCCCCAUACCCGGGGAUAGCCUUGCGAAAGUAAGAUUAAUACCCGAUGGCUUCCUUUUAUCUCCUGAUAGAGGGAAUAAAGAAUUUCGGUAUGGGAUGGCGAUGCGUCCGAUUAGCUAGUUGGCGGGGUAACGGCCCACCAAGGCGACGAUCGGUAGGGGUUCUGAGAGGAAGGUCCCCCACAUUGGAACUGAGACACGGUCCAAACUCCUACGGGAGGCAGCAGUGAGGAAUAUUGGUCAAUGGGCGAAAGCCUGAACCAGCCAAGUAGCGUGCAGGAUGACGGCCCUACGGGUUGUAAACUGCUUUUAUGCGGGGAUAAAGCGGGCGACGUGUCGCCCCUUGCAGGUACCGCAUGAAUAAGGACCGGCUAAUUCCGUG